This is a long non-coding RNA of Macadamia integrifolia, 150 nucleotides long. RefSeq lists it as uncharacterized. NCBI's taxonomy places the organism in Eukaryota, Viridiplantae, Streptophyta, Magnoliopsida, Proteales, Proteaceae. The record is from RefSeq and is a predicted model, not a curated record. The transcript is spliced from 2 exons.
GGGUUGGCAAGCCAGAGUGGAGGAGUUGUUCAUUGCAACUGGGGAAGAAAGGGAAAACUCAGAAGAGUUCCUGUAUCUGUCGAAGCUCAUCACUCUUCCACUUGAAAGAACAAGGAGUUUUGAAUAAAUGGAAAGGGAUUACCAUGGUAA